Molecule: transfer RNA, 68 nt
Filed under: Sminthurides bifidus
Lineage: Eukaryota; Metazoa; Arthropoda; Collembola; Symphypleona; Sminthurididae
Description: tRNA-Thr
Rfam family: tRNA
About the family: Transfer RNA (tRNA) molecules are approximately 80 nucleotides in length. Their secondary structure includes four short double-helical elements and three loops (D, anti-codon, and T loops).
Source: RNAcentral
GCUGCUUUAGUUUAAUUUUAAAAACUUUUGCUUUGUAAGCAAAUAAUUUAUAUAGUGUAAAAGCAGCU